GAUGAACGCUAGCGGCAGGCUUAAUACAUGCAAGUCGUACGGGAUCCGAGGUAGCAAUACUUUGGUGAGAGUGGCGCACGGGUGCGUAACACGUAUGCAACCUACCUUUAACCGGGACACAACCUUGAGAAAUUGAGGCUAAUAUCCCAUAACACUGCGAGAUGGCAUCAUUUUGCAGUUAAAACUCCGGUGGUUAUAGAUGGGCAUGCGCGACAUUAGCUAGUUGGUGAGGUAACGGCCCACCAAGGCUACGAUGUCUAGGGGUUCUGAGAGGAUUAUCCCCCCANACUGGUACUGAGACACGGACCAGACUCCUACGGGAGGCAGCAGUAAGGAAUAUUGGUCAAUGGGCGCAAGCCUGAACCAGCCAUGCCGCGUGAAGGAUGACGGCCCUAUGGGUUGUAAACUUCUUUUGUACGGGAAAAACCUCUAGGUCGUGUACCAGAGCUGAUGGUACCGUAAGAAUAAGCAUCGGCUAACUCCGUGCCAGCAGCCGCGGUAA
This 502-nucleotide ribosomal RNA is filed under the name uncultured bacterium. Its description in RNAcentral is "bacterial SSU rRNA". It matches the Rfam family "Bacterial small subunit ribosomal RNA", at positions 28 to 523 of the family's 1533-position model. The record is from RNAcentral.